RNAcentral lists this ribosomal RNA (506 nucleotides) under uncultured bacterium. RNAcentral's name for it is "partial 16S ribosomal RNA". It matches the Rfam family "Bacterial small subunit ribosomal RNA", at positions 30 to 523 of the family's 1533-position model. The record is from RNAcentral.
AUUGAACGCUGGCGGCAGGCCUAACACAUGCAAGUCGGACGGUAGCACAGAGGAGCUUGCUCCUCGGGUGACGAGUGGCGGACGGGUGAGUAAUGUCUGGGGAUCUGCCCGAUAGAGGGGGAUAACCACUGGAAACGGUGGCUAAUACCGCAUAACGUCGCAAGACCAAAGAGGGGGACCUUCGGGCCUCUUACUAUCGGAUGAACCCAGAUGGGAUUAGCUAGUAGGCGGGGUAACGGCCCACCUAGGCGACGAUCCCUAGCUGGUCUGAGAGGAUGACAGUCCACACUGGAACUGAGACACGGUCCAGACUCCUACGGGAGGCAGCAGUGGGGAAUAUUGCACAAUGGGCGCAAGCCUGAUGCAGCCAUGCCGCGUGUAUGAAGAAGGCCUUCGGGUUGUAAAGUACUUUCAGCGGGGAGGAAGGCGAUGUGGUUAAUAACCGCAUUGAUUGACGUUACCCGCAGAAGAAGCACCGGCUAACUCCGUGCCAGCCGCCGCCGUAA